RNAcentral lists this ribosomal RNA (1197 nucleotides) under Escherichia coli. Its description in RNAcentral is "partial 23S ribosomal RNA". It matches the Rfam family "Bacterial large subunit ribosomal RNA", at positions 1 to 1230 of the family's 2925-position model. Lineage: Bacteria; Pseudomonadati; Pseudomonadota; Gammaproteobacteria; Enterobacterales; Enterobacteriaceae. The record is from RNAcentral.
GGGUUGUGAGGUUAAGUGACUAAGCGUACACGGUGGAUGCCCUGGCAGUCAGAGGCGAUGAAGGACGUGCUAAUCUGCGAUAAGCGUCGGUAAGGUGAUAUGAACCGUUAUAACCGGCGAUUUCCGAAUGGGGAAACCCAGUGUGUUUCGACACACUAUCAUUAACUGAAUCCAUAGGUUAAUGAGGCGAACCGGGGGAACUGAAACAUCUAAGUACCCCGAGGAAAAGAAAUCAACCGAGAUUCCCCCAGUAGCGGCGAGCGAACGGGGAGCAGCCCAGAGCCUGAAUCAGUGUGUGUGUUAGUGGAAGCGUCUGGAAAGGCGCGCGAUACAGGGUGACAGCCCCGUACACAAAAAUGCACAUAUUGUGAGCUCGAUGAGUAGGGCGGGACACGUGGUAUCCUGUCUGAAUAUGGGGGGACCAUCCUCCAAGGCUAAAUACUCCUGACUGACCGAUAGUGAACCAGUACCGUGAGGGAAAGGCGAAAAGAACCCCGGCGAGGGGAGUGAAAAAGAACCUGAAACCGUGUACGUACAAGCAGUGGGAGCCUCUUUAUGGGGUGACUGCGUACCUUUUGUAUAAUGGGUCAGCGACUUAUAUUCUGUAGCAAGGUUAACCGAAUAGGGGAGCCGAAGGGAAACCGAGUCUUAACUGGGCGUUAAGUUGCAGGGUAUAGACCCGAAACCCGGUGAUCUAGCCAUGGGCAGGUUGAAGGUUGGGUAACACUAACUGGAGGACCGAACCGACUAAUGUUGAAAAAUUAGCGGAUGACUUGUGGCUGGGGGUGAAAGGCCAAUCAAACCGGGAGAUAGCUGGUUCUCCCCGAAAGCUAUUUAGGUAGCGCCUCGUGAAUUCAUCUCCGGGGGUAGAGCACUGUUUCGGCAAGGGGGUCAUCCCGACUUACCAACCCGAUGCAAACUGCGAAUACCGGAGAAUGUUAUCACGGGAGACACACGGCGGGUGCUAACGUCCGUCGUGAAGAGGGAAACAACCCAGACCGCCAGCUAAGGUCCCAAAGUCAUGGUUAAGUGGGAAACGAUGUGGGAAGGCCCAGACAGCCAGGAUGUUGGCUUAGAAGCAGCCAUCAUUUAAAGAAAGCGUAAUAGCUCACUGGUCGAGUCGGCCUGCGCGGAAGAUGUAACGGGGCUAAACCAUGCACCGAAGCUGCGGCAGCGACGCUUAUGCGUUGUUGGGUA